GACUCCACGAUCCUUGAUAUUGACGUCAUGAGGACAGGGGUUACUCGGAAAGCAGGAUUUACUAUAUUCUUAGUUUUGGUUUCGACAGCGAUUGAGCGAUGGUGUUUCAUAGUGUGGUUAGGUGGUUUGGUGGCGAAUUUGGGCUGUUAUGGUUGAUACCUUUUUACGGCGAGAAGGAAAUGAGGCUUCUCUGGUGAAAACUAAGACUGAAUUUAUGGUUUAAAGAACUACACUACAGGCAGAGUCGUGGAUUUUUGUAAAAUCUAAAACACUUGUCUUGACUCUGACUACGAUUGUGACAGGAAAAAAUAAAUGCUGAAGCUAAAUUCUUAAGCCAGGUAACUUCGUCUCAAGCUGCGAAAAAUGGAUUUUCCUUUCACAAGUUUGUCUUCGUACAAACCAGCCGCAGAUCUUUUGAUUUACAGGAUGGUUCAUGGAACGGUGAUAUUCAGUACAAAGCAAGGAACACUUCUGUUAUUGAAGAAACUGAGUGGACGUUGCUUUUGCUCCACAAUAUUUUUUGAAGAAUGGUGAGAAUGGAGCCUGGCGUUGCUGAUGUCUUCCACUUUAUUACAAAUGAUAAUCCUAUGUUGAUGGCUCGAAAUUAAUACUUCAAUAAUUAGUACUAAAUGAGGCACAAGAGUUAUGACCUUAAUUACCUUAAUGAUAACAAUUGUUAGCUUUCUCGCCUUGGAUUCAAAAGUAAAAUAUUUAAAGGGUAUUUUAUGCUAAUUGCCUGGAUCAGGUAGAAAGGUGAUCGUAUCUCAUAGUCCCAAGGUUUACCAUUCUGUGUUAAGUGACAUUUUUUACUUUUUGAAACCAGCACUCAAACCGUAUGUGCUGUUUCUUCGUCUUAUCAUUUUACUUUAUUCAGUCAUACUUUGUUCAAGCCUAAAGAUGCGAGACAUUUAGAUAUUUGUUUCUAGGUAUUGUCUUGAAAAAUUUAUUGAAGUACUGAAAAUAACUUUUUAACUAUUGACUGUUACUUAUUCCUGAUUACUAACGAAUAUUGAAAACUGAAUAUUUGGCUUUUAAUAGCUGUUAAGCAGUUAGUGGCACCAAACACACUAAUUUUUAGUUCAGCAUAUAAAUGAAGGCCUAUAUUUUAUUUUAAAGAACAUGGUCUGAUGAGAGAAAUUUUUUAGAG
This is a long non-coding RNA of Macrobrachium nipponense, 1147 nucleotides long. RefSeq lists it as uncharacterized. The record is from RefSeq and is a predicted model, not a curated record. The transcript has 3 exons. NCBI's taxonomy places the organism in Eukaryota, Metazoa, Arthropoda, Malacostraca, Decapoda, Palaemonidae.